GAUGAACGCUGACAGAAUGCUUAACACAUGCAAGUCUACCUGAAUUUGGGUUUUUUAACUUAGAUUUGGGUGGCGGACGGGUGAGUAACGCGUAAAGAACUUGCCUCACAGCUAGGGACAACAUUUGGAAACGAAUGCUAAUACCUGAUAUUAUGAUUAUAAGGCAUCUUAGAAUUAUGAAAGCUAUAUGCGCUGUGAGAGAGCUUUGCGUCCCAUUAGCUAGUUGGAGAGGUAACGGCUCACCAAGGCGAUGAUGGGUAGCCGGCCUGAGAGGGUGAACGGCCACAAGGGGACUGAGACACGGCCCUUACUCCUACGGGAGGCAGCAGUGGGGAAUAUUGGACAAUGGACCAAGAGUCUGAUCCAGCAAUUCUGUGUGCACGAUGACGUUUUUCGGAAUGUAAAGUGCUUUCAGUUGGGAAGAAAAAAAUGACGGUACCAACAGAAGAAGUGACGGCUAAAUACGUG
This 468-nucleotide ribosomal RNA is filed under the name uncultured bacterium. RNAcentral describes it as "partial 16S ribosomal RNA". It matches the Rfam family "Bacterial small subunit ribosomal RNA", at positions 28 to 507 of the family's 1533-position model. The record is from RNAcentral.